RNAcentral lists this long non-coding RNA (2038 nucleotides) under Vigna radiata. RNAcentral's name for it is "long non-coding RNA (VRAD_LNC006383)". The record is from RNAcentral. Lineage: Eukaryota; Viridiplantae; Streptophyta; Magnoliopsida; Fabales; Fabaceae.
AAUGAAAACAAACUCCAAAAACCUCCAUUCCUCAUUGCAAUUCAUGGCUGGAACAAACAAAGGCCAAUCUCAAAGUGGAAACAUUCUAUGAGUCAAAACAAGCAUCUUUUGUGUUGGUCCAAAUCGGGUAAAAACUUUAAUGCACCUUCUCUCCUCCUUCCUAUCUCCAUUUUCGUUUUNCUUUCUCUACCAACACACCAUUCAUGUUUUCUUCCUCCAUACUACAGAAACAUAAACCCAAGAGACCAAAGUUCAAAUUCCAAAUCAACACAAGAACAAUAAACACAACAUAUGAUACUUCAACCCAACCAAAUCUUCCAUUUUUUCAAGCUCUUGUGCAAAAAACGAAAAUAACAUUAUACCAUUCAACUCAACCACUGUCCAGCCCCAAUAACAUCAUCAAAGUCUGGUUCCAAACUAGUUUCAAACAUCAAAACCGAAAUAUGAAGGAAAAGAGUCAAACCCAUAACACCCACACAUCAAGUUAAGCUUUAUUCAACCCAAAACUCACAUANAAUUCCAUUUUUAUCAACCAAACAAAUAAAAUGCAAAGAAAAACGUGAGGAACAGCAGCAAUGCAAGAGGAAACNAAAAUCUAAAGUCACUCAAACCCAACAACCACCAUAGAAAAGCAAAGACAAGCUUAAAAACUCAAGCUUCAAACAUCAAAAACAAGCAAAUGGAAGGAGGAAUGAAUGGAUUUUCACCACCAAUGAGUUAAGACAACCAAGAGUGAGUCAAGGGAAGAAGAAAAUCUUCAUAAUAUUCAUUGAAAAUGGUCCAAAACCGUGCACCAAGCAAGCACCCAUGAAAGCAUGUUCAAAACAAGAGAAACCCUAGGAAAAUGAACCAAAACCAUGAGCUAUGGGUCUCCCCUUUGUGUGGCUCNGUUUUCACACCCCAAAUACCAAGAGUUUCACAUUUGGUGGUGUCCAAACACUACAAGUCAGCCCUAAAGAGAUGCCACAUGGCCCCCACAAUUGGUUUUUUACAAAAAUGCCCCUAAAAGGGUCCAAAACACCUAAUUCUAAUCAAAGGCUUCUAGAAAACGAAAUUACAACUUUAAUUAAAAUCUAANUGACUAAAUAUUAAGUCUUGAAUGUGCCAUGCCAUAUCCUAAUGCUCCAGAUGAUAUUUCCACAAUUUCCCUGUAACCAAAAAUACGCUUAAUCAGCUCAAAAUAUCCAAAUUAGCGAAAAUACGAAUUUCCGACCAAAUUAAGCAGAAUUCAAAAAACGGGGAAAUAACAGACAAUUAAACACAAUUCCCUGGUUUAUUUAAGUGCAAUAAACUUAAUAUGGUUCAAGAAAUAACGAAUCAUCAAAAUAGACCACACUUAAUCUUUUGCACUCCUGGGCAAAACCAAGACGAAAACCAGGGAACUACUCAAACAUCAGGGAGGUGACACAGACUCGGCAGACAAANAACGAAGACUCACAAAACANAAACAGAGUUGCACAAUUCUCACAAAAUCUGGACAGUGAAAAGCAUAGGCAGAAUCCCACACAGAGUCAAUGAAAGCAGAUAGUCACAGAAUCAUCCAAANAGUUCAGUACAUNGAAAACAGUCAAUAAGUUCAAGANAUGAAUCAAAAGCAACAGAGCCUCACGGAUGCACACUAUCAGUGUUUCUCUCAAGUGUUUAAGGUAAAUCAAUGUCACUCAAUGCACUCAAGAAAGCAAACACAAAUAGACUUGGCAAGCCUCUAAUAUCAACACUCAAGCACAUACGCAUGUUCAAAUCAAAAGGUCUUUUCAUGGUUGUAAUGGGGCCAAGGACAAGGGAGGAUACAUCUGGAUNNNNNGCCAUGCCAUAUCCUAAUGCUCCAGAUGAUAUUUCCACAAUUUCCCUGUAACCAAAAAUACGCUUAAUCAGCUCAAAAUAUCCAAAUUAGCGAAAAUACGAAUUUCCGACCAAAUUAAGCAGAAUUCGAAAAACGGGGAAAUAACAGACAAUUAAACACAAUUCCCUGGUUUAUUUAAGUGCAAUAAACUUAAUAUGGUUCAAGAAAUAACGACUCAUCACUCUCCCAGCACUC